RNAcentral lists this unclassified non-coding RNA (238 nucleotides) under Hysteriales sp. RNAcentral describes it as "partial contains 5.8S ribosomal RNA, internal transcribed spacer 2, and large subunit ribosomal RNA". Lineage: Eukaryota; Fungi; Ascomycota; Dothideomycetes; Hysteriales. The record is from RNAcentral.
CGCACAUUGCGCCCCUUGGUAUUCCGAUGGGCAUGCCUGUUCGAGCGUCAUUUCAACCCUCAAGCCCAGCUUGGUACUGGACGCGGUCCUGGGACCCGUCUGCAACCCGUUGGCGGUACCGUCCGGCCCUAAGCGUAGCAAUGACCUCGCUUUGGGAGCCCGCGGCGGCGCCCGCCAGAGGAACCACCGAAUUUUCAAGUUUGACCUCGGAUCAGGUAGGGAUACCCGCUGAACUUAA